This 1845-nucleotide long non-coding RNA is filed under the name Theobroma cacao (cacao). RNAcentral's name for it is "long non-coding RNA (TCAC_LNC001147)". Lineage: Eukaryota; Viridiplantae; Streptophyta; Magnoliopsida; Malvales; Malvaceae. The record is from RNAcentral.
GUAAAAGCAAAAUAAAUUCAUACAUAAGUGGCACACGUAGCCAGGUAUACAAAAUAUUCUACAAUGACAUGUGGACCCCACAAUAACCGUAAAUAUACAAGACUAUAGACCUUCGAUUUCUAAGGAUGCAAAUCCAAAAGCAACCCUCGACAAAAUCGGCUGUCUAUAGACUAUCCUGUGCCUGAAAUGGAUAAAAAGAAGGGGUGAGUUUUUACAAACCCAGUGAGCAAGCAAAAUUCAUCUAUAACAUCUAAAACUGAGUAAAUGGAGACAGUUAAAUCAUCCCAUCAUAAUAUAGUUCAUAACAUUCAAAACUUAUUUCAAUUCCUAUAAAACAAUUACAUUUCAUCAAAAUAAUCAGCAAGGCUUAUGAUUCUCUUAAAAACUUGGCUUUUGCCAAAACUCAUACUCGGUGACACCUUGGCCCGAGCAUCAACCGAGUCCGCCAAGGAUGUUAAAGUGACAUAUACCCAUAAAACAUGUUAUUACUUUUAAAAUAUAGCCAUUCCUUGGCGUUGGUUGAGUUUUACCCUCACGUGGUGGUUCGGCAUGAAAUGAACUCUAAACUUACCUUAGGAGAUACCCUUCGCGCCUCUCAUACUAAGGUAAAAUAUAACGGGGUUUAUCGUGCCCCUCUAAUAGGCUGGUCCACGGAAACCCGCCCACUGCAGUAAACUAAAUACAUAACCCACCAAAUCAAUAAAAUUUCGGCAACAUAACAUGGCUAAUAGAGUACUAUCCAACCUGUCAAUGUAAGACAAAACAAUUUCAGCCAUUCAUGCUACCACAAUUUCAUAAGCCAUCAAUUCAAAUCAUGUAUAUAUAUAUAAUACAAAUGUAUAGCCUCCACUUAUUCUAUUUCGAAAAUGAACAUUUAGUUUCAGAAUAAUUUAUAAAUCUCAUUCAUUUAACUAACAUUUAAAAUGUAAAACAUAAUAAUUUGCAAAUUAGGUGCCUUAUUCUUUAAAAUCUUAAAACAAGUAUAAACCAAUUUAGAUAAUUAAGAUGAACAUCUAAUUACUCACAAUAGUAGGAGUUUGGAGUACUCCUAUUCUUGGUCCUCGGGCACAAUAUCUUUACCCUUAUUAGAGGGCUCACCACCUAUACAUAAUAAAUGACACGUAAUUCAAUAUAUUUAUGCCAAAUUGUUAUAAAACUAUUUCAGGCUCUAUAUGAAUGCAUGACAUUGAAUGAGAAUUGUCCGAAUAAUCACUUAAAUAUGGUGUUCUACGUGGGUUCAAUUAUGAUCGGACUGAAUUGGCAUUUGACCUAACUCGCACUAUACCUUGUUUAAUUAGCCAAAACAUUCAAUUCAACUCCAAAUAUCUUCAUUACACUUUCAAUAUUCCAAAUACACCAAAAUACCUCAAUGAGCUUAAUUGUGACUUAAUUCACCGUAACCGAAAUUCAUUCCGAUUUCGAUAUCCGAUACCAUAAAUCAUCAAUUACGAGCUAAAUAACAUGAAUUACAACCAAAUCCAUCAUCAAUAUGUCACCUAAUAAAUUCGGCCAAAGAGGGUUAUUGAAGGGCAUGUGAUUUUCUUGCUUGUUUUUCCUUCCAAACAUCACAAAAUGACUAAAAACACUAGGAUAUUAUGAAAUCUAGCAAAAUUCAUCACCAAAUCUUCUCUCUCUAGGUUUGGCUAGCAAAGGUUCUCUCUUGAAAACUUGAAUUUUAGCCAUGGAGAAUGAAAAAGAAUGCAUGGGAAGGGUAGAUCACAAGCUAAAAUUAAAAAAUCUUACCUUGACUUGCUUGAUUCCUUGAAAUCCACCAAUUUCUCUUGAAUUUUUUCUUUCCUAGGGUUUGUUCUUCUCUUUUUCUCUUUGUUCCCUUGCUUGGUCGGC